AAGCAUGACUGCAAAUGACAAAAGUGAAAAACUUUUACUCACAUAGACCAAAAUAUAGGAAAAACCUUAUUCUUUUGUUUCUUUCAAAAUAUUUCAUUCAGAUAAAUGAUUUCAUAAAAAGAAUGAUUUGGAUAUUUGUAUAAAAUUUGGAGAAAAUCAAAAUUUUAAAAAGUUUGUAACAAUUAUUUUUGGAUGAGAUAAGGCACAAAUAUCCGAUGAAGGAAGUUCACAAGGAUAAAAAAGAGGAUGACGACGAUGAUGAUGAUGUAACCCAUUGCCAAUAUGAAUCAUUUUCAUAAAUUCUUCAGAAUUCAAUCAAAGAAGAACCAAGUUCAUUGUUUGUACCCGAAGACUACAGUCAUGGCAUAGAAACAAUGGCCCUCCAGUAGCUUCUGUUUUAGCAUCAUCUCAUGCUGGAUCAAUUACUCAAUUCCUUUGCCAAAUACUUGUCCAUCAACUCCACCAGCGCGUAUAUUUCACUUUUCUGGACCGAAUUAGCUAAAAGUUGAGGCUGAAUUUGGAAUGCCAAACCAAGUCCUUCGAUCAUGCAUAGUUCACUCUUAGUUGGAUUGAAGGAUGUGUGCAUCUCACGUGAGAUUUGUAUGUAUGACGUGUAUGUUUACUGUAUGACUUUAUGAUAAUUUAGUGUCUACUUGUACACACCCAAAUUGGAGGGUAUAGAUUUUUGAUUUUGUGAAUACCAGCUAUUGUUUACUCACAAUAUUACUGGAACUAGAGAGAAAAUGUAAGAAAAGGAGAUUGCUAAGUAUUUUGAGAAAUUAUCUUGCUUACUUUAUUACACUACAGAAUGGUGGUGU
Capsicum annuum is the source of this 818-nucleotide long non-coding RNA. RefSeq lists it as uncharacterized. Lineage: Eukaryota; Viridiplantae; Streptophyta; Magnoliopsida; Solanales; Solanaceae. The transcript is spliced from 2 exons. The record is from RefSeq and is a predicted model, not a curated record.